AGUCUCCUCCUCUGACCAUGGGGACAACAAACUUCGCUUGCAAGGCCUGGAAGAAGAUCAGAAGUUGGACAGGAGAGGUCCGGCCGCGCGGACGUCACCUUAGCGCGCCACUGUCGGCUCCGGUGGGCUCGGGUGAGCUCGGGUGAACGCAGCGAGCGAGGGCAGAGGCCAGCAGAGGCGAGGAGUGGAUGCUGCAGGGCCGCAGGCCGGGCAGAGAAACGCAUACCGGGUCGCUCCCUGCUUCGCCGCCGCCUCCUGGCAGGGCCAGCGAAGCCAGUGCUCCAGCGCCCCCGUAACACCUCAAAGCGCACGGAGUCCGUGUUGGGGAACUUGGCGGCAGAGUGACUGGGACCUAGGACCUGCGGUGGGGCCGCCGCCGCCUCCGCGGGGCCGAGCGCCUGGACCUCGCCCUGAGGUAAACGCGGGUCGACCCGGGGGGCGGAUGGGCUCGGGCUGUGUCGAGGGGAGGCGGAGGUGAGCGACCCGCGAAGAGCGCAGGAGCAGGCCGGGGGCCACGCUAGGGCGGACCCAAUUUCGGAAUAGCGCGGCCCGGGCGGCGGCGUGCGCUGGGAGGAAUGCUGGGUCUGUCGCUAGCGCCAAACUUGACCACGCUGCGACCUUUUCACUCUGUGCUCUGACCUUCAAAUCUCCCUCCCCCGAUUUUUUUUUUUUUUUUUUUUUUGAGACAGAGUUUCGCUUUUGUUGCCCAGGGCGGGAGUGCAGUGACAUGAUCUCGGCUCACUGCAACCUCCACCUCCUGGGUUCGGGCGAGUGUCCUGCCUCAGCCUCCCGAGUAGCUGGGAUUAUAGACCCCCGCCACCAUGCCCGGCUAAUUUUUUUUAUUUUAUUUAUUUAUUUAUUUAUUUAUUUAUUUAUUUUUGUAGUAGAGACAGGGUUUCACCAUGUUGGCCGGGUUGAUCUCGAACUCCUGUCCUCAAGUGAUCCGCCUGCCUCAGCCUCCCAAAGUGCUGGGAUUACAAGCGUGAGCCACCGCACCCGGCCUUCUCCCAAUUUUUAAAACUCGCUGGCUGGGCUGACAGCUACAGGGCCAGGAAUUCAAAACUUAGCCUCACCAGUCUCCCCUCCUCAGACCGAGGAGGUUGUUUUGUUUUGUUUGAGACAGAAUCUCACUCUGUCGCCCAGGCUGGAUUGCAAUGGUGCGAUCUCGGCUCACUGCAACCUCUGCCUCUCCGGUUCAAGCCAUUCUCCUGCUUCAGCCUCCCGAGUAGCUGGGAUUACAGGCGCCUGCCACCACACCCAGCUAAUUUUUGUAUUUUUAGUAGAGACGGGGUUUCAUCAUGUUGGCCAGGAUGGUCUCGAACUCUUGAUCUCAAGUGAUCCGCCCACCUCGGCCUCCCAAAGUGCUGGGAUUAUGGGUGUGAGCCACCAUGCCUGGCCAGACCUGGGGUUUGGACCCAUUAAAGAGCUUCCUUACAGAUGGCUGGCGGUCUUGCCACCAAUUGUUUCAAAAGUAGAUGUCUGGUUUAGAGUACUUAAGACAUUCACAGAUUCAAAUGUUGAAUUUUGAAAUAUCCCUGAUAUAUUUCUGUAUUGUAUUACCAAAAAAAAAAAAAAAAAAGAAGUUAGACAGGAGUUUGGAACCAGAGAACAGCCUGUUGGGGGAGUGGGGACUACAGCAGGGCUACCCAGGCCCCUCCUCCUCCCUGUCCCUUCGGCUCCCACCCUCUGCCAGGCUUACCUGUAAAUCGGGCCAUACUUCUGGAAAUUCUGGACAUGGUGAAGGUGGACUUUGUGUGUGCCCGUCUCCCUCCAGAAAUGGUACAGGUUUAGCCAGCCAUUGUCACCAGGAGAGGGGAUCUCAUUGAAGGGGCGAGGACUGCGGGUGGAGAUGCCAGCUCCCUCGCCAGUGGGCACCCUGAGACGCCCCAGCCCCUCCCUGGGGGCACUCAGAAAGGUCUGGCAGCCUUUGACCAGGACUGAGCGUGGGGGAAGACCCUUGGCCAGCAUGCUGUCCCCACAGCUGUGACUGUACCUGCUCCACUUCAGCGGGGACUGCUAGGAUGACUGUAGCCCUGGGCCACCAGGGCCAAGAUUAUAACUACCAGCUCAAGGCCAUACCAGAAGCUGAUAAAAUGUUCACGUCCUUCCUCCUGCUGCAGGCUCAAACCCGCAGACAGCUCCUCCCCUACUCGGUAUGAAGGUUCAGUCUGGAAUUUCUGCAGCGUGAGGUUCUCCAAAGGACAGGGAGACCCCUCUGUCUCUGCCCUCAGUGCCAGCCCUAGCAGACUCCUGAAAUAUCUGCCUGUGCUUUUGCCUGAGCUGGGGCCUCCCACUGGCCCCUGCAGCGGAGUCCAUGCCCUGGCAGCCAUUGGUCAAGACUGCAGACAACCUGUGUUUGGGGGAAAUGAGGGGCCCAAGAGAAGGUCAGAGCUAUCUUGCCAGCUUGGGCAACAUACGUCUUAGUUAUGGCCCCACUGUAUAGACACACAUCAUUGAACAACAGGGAUAAGUUCUGAGAAAUGCAUCCUUAGGCUAUUUUAUUUUAUUUUAUUUUAUUUUAUUUUAUUUUAUUUUAAGAGAGUUUCAUUCUUGUUGCCCAGGCUGGAGCGCAAUGGCACAGUUUCACCUUGGAACCCUAAUCCUCGUCGUCUCUCCCCAGUUGACCCAGAUUUGGGGCUGUAAUUCAGUACAGCUGACUCAGAGGGGCUCUGGGUCCCUUGAGCUGAGGUCUGUGGUCAGGCUCCACUCUGGACACACUCUAAGACCUUGGCAAAUCUGGUUGCCAUGGAACUCAGGAUGUCAGCUCUUCCCUGUCCACACACUUGAUCUGUGCUGCUUUCCCCUCAGAGCUGCUUCCAUACCCCCUCCCAUCAUAUCAUAUCCCCAGACCCAUCCUUCCAGCCCAGGUCAGCCCCCACACCCACCCCCCAUCACCCUGCACCUACCACUUUCCCAAACAACAAGGGUCAGUCACCUGUAGAGUUUUCAAGUCAUUUCAACAAAAUUACAGCCCACUUGGUAAAAAUGUGUAGGUCAGAAAACAUACAUGUGCCAUGUAGAGCAUUUCAUGACAGCAAUCUACACUAUACCUUAUACUUAUCAUUGGAAGGUACAACUUCUUGCUUUUUUUCCCCAAAAUCUUAUUUUCUGGCAAAUAAGGCAUUUAAAACACACAUCUAAGAGACAGAAAAUAGACUGGUGGUUGCUUAGAGCUAGGGGGAUAGAGGAAUUAGAGGAUGGGACAUAAAGUGUGUAGGGAUUCUUAGGAUGAUGAAAAUGAAAAUAUUCUAAAGUAUAUUGUGGUAAUUAUUGAACAACUCUCUGAUACACUAAAAGCCAUUGAAUUGCAUACUUUAAAUGGGUGAAUUGUAUGGUGUGUGAAUUAUAUCUCAAUAGAGCUGUUACCAAACACACACACACACACACACACACGAGUGACAUCCUCCUGGCCUCUUCUGUUGUAUGUGUCAGCCCAUAGAUCACCCACAAUGGCAAAAGUUGUCCUUACACAGCCACUUGACCCCAGACUCCAAUACUGUUGAACCACUUUCAACAAAUUUAGAGCAACAGUUUUUAGAAGAAAAAAAAAAAGUACUUAUCAAGAGUGGUUGUUGCUCUUCCCGCUGGAGUGACCACUACCUCAUCAGUCAUGAACCUUCUGAUAAAGAGAGUAUGGAGAAAGCCUGUUUUGCCUCACUGAUGACCUUGAGCCUGGAAUGACAUCAGCCAAGGAAGGCAGUGUCUCACGAGCAGCGGCAGGGUGAUGAGCUUCCACAAAGAAAAGCAGUCUUCCAAGGACUAGUUUUUCCUCCAAGGGUCUCAGCACUGAGGUGACAUUUAUAACUUUCUGACUUAAAGUCAAUCCCAUUGUUCUACGCAGCCCCACAUUCCUCCCUCAGAAGGAGCCCUAAUCGAUGUGGCAUGGAAGAACUUGUGGUCCUCUUGGCAGCCACCCCAACUUCCGUUCAGGCCUCCGCACCUCCCCCAGUGUUGUGGGGCACUGACCGCCUCCCCAGAAGUGGCCCGGGCUGGAGGUUAUUGCCUCAUCCUCUCCAAUGGCCAUGGUCACAUCACAGCAUAGGCCAGCGAUUCAGUUUGGGCCAAUGAAACACAGGGAAAGGUUUGCUGUGGCUUCUGGGAGAAUAGCUCCCUCACUUCUCUGAAAGAGCUUCCAGAAACACAUCACUCACUCCAAACAAGGCUGAAUGUAUUAGCUGUUUACUGCUGCUUAACAAAUUAUCCCAAAAUUUAGUGGCUUAAAACAAUAAAUGUUUAUUAUCUCACAGCUUCCGAGGGUGCAGCACCCAGGAGCAGCUUUUCUGGGUGACUGGGUGGCUGGGUGGCUGGGUGACUGGGUGGCUGGGUGGCUGAGUGGCUCAUGCUCAGGGUUUCUCACAAGCGGCUGCCAUCCCUGAAGCUUGACCAGGGUGUAGGAUCAGCUUCCAAGCUCAGUGGAUUAAACUGGCCCUGCUUCAAAACUUUUCAGUGGCUGUUUCAGGACUAUUGAGAAGAUUAAUGAAUGAUACAUACAUUUCAAAAUAUAUAUAUUACACAUAUACAUGUGUAUAUUACAUAAUUUUUCCCUCCCUCUCUCUGUUCUUGCCAGUGCCCAAACUGAAAUUUUCACCCUCUCAAAAGUGAUGGGAAGUUAGGGUCCAACCCUCACCAAGCCCCUUACGAUGGGCAAGUGAAUCCUCUGCUAGGUGAGGUUAGCCUAGUGCUCGGCUAUGCCAAAGUCCUUCUUGGCUCUCUCAAGACAGGCCCAUACUUAUAGUGCUUUCUCCUCCCACUCCUGCCUCCCACAUUCUGUAACUAUCCUAUCAUUCUCAGAGUAGAGGGUGUACACAUUUAGACCCAUCUAAACGUUGCCUAGGACGGGGAACAUGAUUUUAUUCAUUGCAGGCAGCUUGGAUGGAUAAACAGAAAAUCCAAAUCACAGACUUAAAGAAGAUAGAAGUGUAUUCUCUCUCCCAUAAAGGAUGUCCAAGGCUGGGCAGUCCAGGGUGAGUGUGUCAGUCCCAGCAAAAUGCCAGGCUCCAUCUUCCUGCUUCACCACGAAGACAUUUGGUUGGCAUUUCUAAGGCCACCCGAUGGUCCAAGCUGCUGCUGGAGCAUUAACCGUGUUGCUGGCCAGAAGGCGGAAGAACUCAAGAAGACCAAAAGGGGCCCUCCCUGAAGAGCCAGCUUCAUUUAAGCCCCUUCCUCAAAGUCCCACACGAGUCCAACCAUAUCUGAUUGGUGGGAACUUAACCACAUUGAGGCAGGAGAAUAGGGAAUUAGGGCAACCAAGGAUUAAGGUAGGAACAAAAGAAGAGCAGGUGCAGCCAGUUCACAUAAGCAAAAGGCACAGCAGGUACAGCCAAUUCUAGGCAGGAUUAGGCAACAUACAGGCCACAUCUUCACUUCUGUGAUAACCACAGGCCAAGUCGCCACUUAAGCCUCUAAUUGGUCACGGAUCAAUCCUUCAUUGGAUGUAACUGAUUGGAGGCCUCUGGAGGGCACCGGGGGUGUUCAUGUUCUUUAGCUUAAUAAAAUCUCUAAUUGAAGGGGCUCCUGAGCCACUUGCUCAAGCCCACUCUUGCUCUGUGAAUUGUACUUGCACAUCUUCAAUAAAUCUGUGCCUUCAUUACUCCA
Molecule: long non-coding RNA, 5595 nt
Organism: Homo sapiens (human)
Lineage: Eukaryota; Metazoa; Chordata; Mammalia; Primates; Hominidae
Exons: 2
Source: RefSeq, a predicted model, not a curated record